This 1243-nucleotide long non-coding RNA is filed under the name Sus scrofa (pig). RNAcentral describes it as "lncRNA (ENSSSCG00065062805.1)". Lineage: Eukaryota; Metazoa; Chordata; Mammalia; Artiodactyla; Suidae. The record is from RNAcentral.
AUGAAGCACACACAUAGUGAUUGUGGGUCUUGAGUGCCCCCUGCAGCCCAGACCCUGUGUCCCUGCAGAGAGGUUUUUGUCUGGGCUGACAUGCCUUCCCCUCACUGUGCCUGUUGCACAGUAAUACCGGGCCGUGUCUUCGGUUCUCAGGCUGUUCAUUUGCAGAUAGGCCGUGUUCUGGGAAUUGUCUCUGGAGAUGGUGAAUCGGCCCUUCACAGAGUCUGCGUAGCGGGCCGUGUCUUCGGUUCUCAGGCUGUUCAUUUGCAGAUAGGCCGUGUUCUGGGAGUUGUCGCUGGAGAUGGUGAAUCGGCCCUUCACAGAGUCUGCGUAGUAGGUGCUACCACCACUACUAGUAAUAUAUGCCAGCCACUCCAGCCCCUUCCCUGGAGCCUGGCGGACCCAGAUCAUGUUGUAGCUACUGAAGGUGAAUCCAGAGCCAACACAGGAGAGUCUCAGAGACCCCCCAGGCUGCACCAGGCCUCCUCCAGACUCCACCAGCUUCACCUCACCCUGGACACCUGCAAACACAAAGACAUCCUGGUCAGAAAACUGUCACACGCACACUGAGGUGCCCUCAAAUCCUCUUUUUUCUCCCACCCACAGGAUUUACCUUGUAAGAGAGCAAACAAGACCACCCAGUUCAGCCGAAACUCCAUGGCGGGUGGUCUGUGUUCUUUCCUGAUCGCAGAAUGGGAUCCUGGGGCUGGGCUCCUUGCCAGAGCUGCAGGGUGAUGGCAGGGCUGGUUUUAUCUGCUGAGGGAGGAACCCAUUUGCAUGGCCUCCUAGUAUAUAAGCGGUUAUGGCAUCGAAUGGCCUCAACACGGCAGGUCCCCAAGGCAGGAAUGAGUGUCUUGAAGUUGGUUGUGUUGAUAGCAUUUACGAAUAUGCAUUUUCAUUACGUCAGUUUCUUCACGGUAAACACCUAUCACUCGUGUGCUAUUUUGUUUUUACAUUUGCACACAACCCUCUGAUGUAGAAGUCAUUUUUUCCCCAUAUUCAGGGAAGAAAUUUCAACUACGCACAUAGAGGGUUUGUGGACGGUCCGGGGACACACACGUGCUGGGAGUCCCUCCUCGUGUCUGCACUUGUGCUCCUCCUGCUGGACCCACCUGCUUCCUGGACCAACUCCAGGACAGAGUGGACACACCUGCAGGGGAGGGCAGAUCCCUCUUCCGUCAUGAGAACUUGAGGGUAUUGUUCUGUUGUAGUGUUUACACGGGAGGGUAUCUUUAGGAUUCAUGGG